This 253-nucleotide ribosomal RNA is filed under the name uncultured bacterium. RNAcentral describes it as "partial 16S ribosomal RNA". It matches the Rfam family "Bacterial small subunit ribosomal RNA", at positions 524 to 776 of the family's 1533-position model. The record is from RNAcentral.
UACGUAGGGCGCAAGCGUUGUCCGGAAUUAUUGGGCGUAAAGAGCGUGUAGGCGGCCAGGUAGGUCUGGUGUGAAAACUCGAGGCUUAACCUCGAGAUGUCAUCGGAAACCAUUUGGCUAGAGUCCGGAAGAGGAGAGUGGAAUUCCUGGUGUAGCGGUGAAAUGCGCAGAUAUCAGGAAGAACACCAAUGGCGAAAGCAGCUCUCUGGGACGGUACUGACGCUGAGACGCGAAAGCGUGGGGAGCGAACAGG